AACCUGAGAAGUCUGUGCUCAAAGUCUGAAUAAAGUCAGAAUUGUAUUGAAGUGUUUAAGAUAAAUAAGGAGCAGAAAAAAGGCAAAAUUGUGUUUGGAAAACAUCAAGAGGGAAGACCACAUUUGGGGGACUACAGGAACCAAAAUACGGAGUUUGAAUGUUUUUCCUAAGCACAAUGGAACCUGUGGAAGAUUUUUAGCAGUAUUCGCAAAAAAGCUCUUACAAUAUUCCAUUCUGUGAGAAGUUUCGACCAAAAAGUGAGUGUAACUCUGAUAACACUUAUUUAUAGAGCAGUUGGCUUUGAUGAACAAUGAACUGUUACUUGAUUUUACUCUUGGUUCAAGGACAUCCACAAGUGCUGUCAAA
This 367-nucleotide long non-coding RNA is filed under the name Homo sapiens (human). RNAcentral's name for it is "non-protein coding LINC02263:15". The record is from RNAcentral. Lineage: Eukaryota; Metazoa; Chordata; Mammalia; Primates; Hominidae.